CUCUUCGAUUUUGUUGAAACAAAUUUUGCAUUACUUAAAAAGACUCGGAGUCUAAGAUAAUUGUGCCCGACAGAUUCACAUUUUGAGAUCCAUUGCCCACUCAUAUUCAGCUACGGCUCCUGUCAGCUAGUCCUCUGCAAUCGCAUGAUCGAUAUCUCACAUCCUGAGCAAACAGAUCAUGGCCGACCAUCGCUCCACGUCCUCUGUGCGUAUUUGUCAAUAUCUCCUCAUUGGCCAAUCCUGUU
RNAcentral lists this long non-coding RNA (245 nucleotides) under Elaeis guineensis (African oil palm). Its description in RNAcentral is "long non-coding RNA (EGUI_LNC026591)". Lineage: Eukaryota; Viridiplantae; Streptophyta; Magnoliopsida; Arecales; Arecaceae. The record is from RNAcentral.